AUUGAACGCUGGCGGCAGGCCUAACACAUGCAAGUCGAACGGUAACAGGGAUCAGCUUGCUGAUUCGCUGACGAGUGGCGGACGGGUGAGUAAUGUCUGGGAAACUGCCUGAUGGGGGGGGAUAACUACUGGAAACGGUAGCUAAUACCGCAUAACGUCGCAAGACCAAAGAGGGGGACCUUCGGGCCUCUUGCCAUCGGAUGUGCCCAGAUGGGAUUAGCUAGUAGGUGGGGUAACGGCUCACCUAGGCGACGAUCCCUAGCUGGUCUGAGAGGAUGACCAGCCACACUGGAACUGAGACACGGUCCAGACUCCUACGGGAGGCAGCAGUGGGGAAUAUUGCACAAUGGGCGCAAGCCUGAUGCAGCCAUGCCGCGUGUAUGAAGAAGGCCUUCGGGUUGUAAAGUACUUUCAGCGGGGAGGAAGGGAGUAAAGUUAAUACCUUUGCUCAUUGACGUUACCCGCAGAAGAAGCACCGGCUAACUCCGUG
This 490-nucleotide ribosomal RNA is filed under the name uncultured bacterium. RNAcentral's name for it is "partial 16S ribosomal RNA". It matches the Rfam family "Bacterial small subunit ribosomal RNA", at positions 30 to 507 of the family's 1533-position model. The record is from RNAcentral.